UCCCCGUUACCGGGGCAGUCUACCUAGAAAAAUCCAACUAAGUAUAAGGGUUGCGCUCGUUGAUGGACUUAACCAAACAUCUCACGACACGAGCUGACGACGGCCAUGCAACACCUGUCACUGAAUUCCCGAGGGCACAGUAUCCUUUCGGAUGCCUUUUCAGGAUGUCAAACCUUGGUAAGGUUCUUCGCUUACCUUCGAAUUAAAGAACACGCUCCACCGCUUGUGCGGGUCCCCGUCAAUUCCUUUAUGUUUUAGUCUUGCGACCGUACUCCACAGGCGGGAUGCUUAACGCGUUAGCUUCGCUACUACUCGGGUCGAUACGAGUAACAGCUAGCAUCCAUCGUUUACGGCGUGGACUAC
This 363-nucleotide unclassified non-coding RNA is filed under the name uncultured bacterium. RNAcentral describes it as "contains 16S-23S intergenic spacer region". The record is from RNAcentral.